CCCAGCAGCAGCUGCCCACAAUUUAUUUUUUUUUUAAAAUAUAAUUAGUAAAACUAAAAAUAAACUUUGAUUAACACAAAUUUAUAACUAAAUGAAUAAUAUUUUCACUAUAUCAUAACAUAUUCAAAAAUUAAAACUCAAAAUUUCAAUAAUAUAAUAAAAAGAAACUAAAAAUCAAAGUAGACACUUACUUGAUAGGCAGUGGCGGAAGUGGCGGCAGUGGUGAGCGGCAAUGCAGUAGUGGCGAGAGGAGCGUCCAGCAGUGGCGAGCGUUCAGCAUCGGCGACAGUGACGGGAUCAACAGCGGCGGCGGCGAUUUCGGCAAGGAGAAAGAACAGGAGAGGAGAGGAGAGGAGAGGAGAGGAAGUGGGCGGCUAAAAUCAGAAAUGAGGAUGAAUGAUUAGGGUUUUUUUUAUUUAUAUUAUUUGCAUUUUCUGACGAAUUAGCGACGGAAUUUAUUCCGUCACUAAUAUUUUUAUAAUCCGUCGCUAAUCCGUCGGAAAUCUGUCAGAAAUGCC
RNAcentral lists this long non-coding RNA (518 nucleotides) under Manihot esculenta (cassava). Its description in RNAcentral is "long non-coding RNA (MESC_LNC000260)". Lineage: Eukaryota; Viridiplantae; Streptophyta; Magnoliopsida; Malpighiales; Euphorbiaceae. The record is from RNAcentral.